Long non-coding RNA from Asterias rubens (European starfish), 1909 nucleotides. RefSeq lists it as uncharacterized. NCBI's taxonomy places the organism in Eukaryota, Metazoa, Echinodermata, Asteroidea, Forcipulatida, Asteriidae. The record is from RefSeq and is a predicted model, not a curated record. The transcript has 6 exons.
UAUUAGUUUGCAGAGUGAAAGGAAAACCAUGCACUUACAAGGCACAUUUGCCUUAUCCAAGGCAUUGUGUUCUAUUAAGCCUCAAAUAGUCAAUGGCACAAGUUUGAUAAAACUGCUCUUGUGACCCUUUGCCAUUUUGUUAAGUUUUAGACAUAAAUUUGAUAAAUUUGCUGGACCUUCCCCCUGUGAAUUUUAGUUUUGGGCUCAAAUUGGCUAAAACUGCUAGUCUUACCCCUUGUGUUUUUUAAACUGUAGGCCAAAUUUGAUAAAACUGCUGGACUCGCCACUUGUGAUUGUUCAAUUUGAGGCUAAAAUUCAGUAAACCUGCUGGACUUUAUACCCCUUGCUAUUUUAAAAUUUUAGAUGCAAACUUAUUUUUUUCUUUUAAAUGUUUUUCUUUGUAGUGUCAUGAAGACUUCAAGAGAUCACCAGUUACAAGCUCAUAUGAAUCUGAAUAUGAUGUAGGCCUAUACCUAAGAAGUGUUUGUCAGCCACCAUUAUGAAGAUGUCGAAAGAUCACCAGUAACAAGCUCAUAAUGAUCUGAAUAUGGUAAAGGCCUAUAACUUAAAAGGUAAUACAUAAUUCUGAACGAUUGUUUUUGUUGGCUUUUGAAGGAUGUGUUGGUAAAUGGAGCUCCACAUUAAAUAGAACUAGCACCCAGAUUAAAUUCAUCUAGCUAAAAAAAGGCUGAUCACCUUCCAUUGCCAUGCAUUUUUAAGUCUCAAAUAAUUGAUGGCACAAGUUUGAUAAAACUGGUGAAAAGCUCUCGAAUUUGUCAAUUUUAGGCAAAUAUUAAACUGCUAGACCUAGUACCCUUUUUUAAAUUUAUUUAUAAUAGUGGCUGCAUGGUGCUGGUAGUCUUAAUAAACAAUACUUCUGAUUAAAUCUGGGUUGGGGGGUGUCUGUUGCAUUCCCCCUCCCAAUCAAAACCUCUUUAGGUCAGUAUUCCACCCAAAUUAUCUUGCACAUUUGAGGGAUUGCCUUUGAAAUUAUAAUUGACCAAUAAAACCUUGACUUGACAAAAGGAAAGUUAGCAAAACAGUCUAACACUUGGAUUUCUUGUUGUCUUGUGAGAAAAUAUGCAUAAGGCACCGACCAUGUAUCGCAGAACCUCGGCUGUUAGCCACAGCAGAUAAAUAAUCUGCCAGGGUAUAGCGUAGAAAUCCAAGGCAUUGUGUUCUAUUAAGCCUCAAAUAGUCAAUGGCACAAGUUUGAUAAAACUGCUCUUGUGACCCUUUGCCAUUUUGUUAAGUUUUAGACAUAAAUUUGAUAAAUUUGCUGGACCUUCCCCCUGUGAAUUUUAGUUUUGGGCUCAAAUUGGCUAAAACUGCUAGUCUUACCCCUUGUGUUUUUUAAACUGUAGGCCAAAUUUGAUAAAACCGCUGGACUCGCCACUUGUGAUUGUUCAAUUUGAGGCUAAAAUUCAGUAAACCUGCUGGACUUUAUACCCCUUGCUAUUUUAAAAUUUUAGAUGCAAACUUAUUUUUUUCUUUUAAAUGUUUUUCUUUGUAGUGUCAUGAAGACUUCAAGAGAUCACCAGUUACAAGCUCAUAUGAAUCUGAAUAUGAUGUAGGCCUAUACCUAAGAAGUGUUUGUCAGCCACCAUUAUGAAGAUGUCGAAAGAUCACCAGUAACAAGCUCAUAAUGAUCUGAAUAUGGUAAAGGCCUAUAACUUAAAAGUGUCAUGAAGACUUCAAGAGAUCACCAGUUACAAGCUCAUAUGAAUCUGAAUAUGAUGUAGGCCUAUACCUAAGAAGUGUUUGUCAGCCACCAUUAUGAAGAUGUCGAAAGAUCACCAGUAACAAGCUCAUAAUGAUCUGAAUAUGGUAAAGGCCUAUAACUUAAAAGGGCCAGUAGUUCCUGGAGAUCAACUGCUUUGGGCAAACAUCAGUAUCAUCAAGACAUCCG